Hirundo rustica (Barn swallow) is the source of this 974-nucleotide long non-coding RNA. RefSeq lists it as uncharacterized. The record is from RefSeq and is a predicted model, not a curated record. NCBI's taxonomy places the organism in Eukaryota, Metazoa, Chordata, Aves, Passeriformes, Hirundinidae. The transcript has 4 exons.
AUCUCCAGUAGCUUCUCAGCUUUCUCCGGUUCCUGCAUCCCAUCCUUCCCGACAUCCAGAGUGCUCUGGGCAGAACUCUGACCUCUCCCGAGCUCAGCCAUUGCCUUGGCAAGCAGCACAGGGCUAAGGGUUAUGGACUUUUCCCGUCAGGACAGAGAAUCCAUCUUUAAAAUCAAACCACUCUUGUUCUUUUCUGAUCCUGCAGCCAACAAGAACUAAUUUGGGGAGGACAUGGAGACACUCAAAGCCCCUCUGAGGCAGUGUUUUCUCCACUUCUUCCACAGCAGGAGGAACAAAAGCUGCGUUUGGGAGCAAUCCUUGGCUGAUUUCAGUGAGAUCCUGAAGGAGCAGGAGAAUGAUCCCACCUGUGAGGGUGUGAAUUGCUUAGUGGGCUUUCCUUGCCUUUGGGAGCUUUGGAAUCUGUGAGCAGCCUGGAAGGGGUCUUUAAGCAGUUAUUAGCUGCUAAUUAAAUUAAUUUAAAUAAUUACAUAAAUUAAAAUAAUUUUAAUGGUGAAGAGGUUGCUCUUUCUUUAUGACCUUCAGCUUCUGGAAGGAGCCAUCAGGUUAAGGAGUCUUCAGUCCUGUAAUCACCACCGUGACUGUUACGAGACCACAUUUAAUGAUGACAGUGAGGUUUGGAAAAUGCAGGAUUUGCAUCAGAGCACCAAGAAGAGACAACAGGACUUGGGAGCCUUAGAAAUGCAUCCUCUGUCUGCACAGGAACCCCAUACUGCCAAAUAAAAACCACAGUCAGGUACACAGAGAAGACCAAGAGUACCAGAUGUUUAAUUCCACAUUUUCACAAGUUAAAGGAUCACAACGUAAGGACUGCGAGCAGACAGAAUCACCAGUUUCCUGUGAGGUUUAAUAAAUUAAAAAUAGUUCUAAUUUUAGUCUUUUUGUGGUACCUGAAGAGCUUACAAAAAACAACACCACAAUGCUUAAUAUUGCCUAUGAGUCUACUUACAGUUUGU